Molecule: ribosomal RNA, 121 nt
Organism: Hucho hucho (huchen)
Lineage: Eukaryota; Metazoa; Chordata; Actinopteri; Salmoniformes; Salmonidae
Source: Ensembl
GCCAGCAGCAUACCACACUGCAUCCCACUGCUGGCUUGCUUCUGAAGCUAAGCAGGGUUGGUCCUGGUCAGUCCCUGGAUGGGAGACCAGAUGGUGUUGGAGGACCAGUAGGAGGCAGGCU